UGGCGGACGGGUGAGUAAUGUCUGGGAAACUGCCUGAUGAGGGGGAUAACUACUGAAACGGUAGCUAAUACCGCAUAACGUCGCAAGACCAAAGAGGGGGACCUUCGGGCCUCUUGCCAUCGGAUGUGCCCAGAUGGGAUUAGCUAGUAGGUGGGGUAACGGCUCACCUAGGCGACGAUCCCUAGCUGGUCUGAGAGGAUGACCAGCCACACUGGAACUGAGACACGGUCCAG
RNAcentral lists this ribosomal RNA (233 nucleotides) under uncultured bacterium. RNAcentral's name for it is "partial 16S ribosomal RNA". It matches the Rfam family "Bacterial small subunit ribosomal RNA", at positions 96 to 334 of the family's 1533-position model. The record is from RNAcentral.